UCCCUACGGGGCGCAGCAGUGGGGGAUAUUGCACAAUGGGCGCAAGCCUGAUGCAGCGACGCCGCGUGAGCGAAGAAGUAUUUCGGUAUGUAAAGCUCUAUCAGCAGGGAAGAAAAUGACGGUACCUGACUAAGAAGCCCCGGCUAACUACGUGCCAGCAGCCGCGGUAAUACGUAGGGGGCAAGCGUUAUCCGGAUUUACUGGGUGUAAAGGGAGCGUAGACGGCAUUGCAAGUCUGAUGUGAAAGAUUGGGGCUCAACCCCAGGCCUGCAUUGGAAACUGUAAAGCUGGAGUACAGGAGAGGG
RNAcentral lists this ribosomal RNA (305 nucleotides) under uncultured bacterium. Its description in RNAcentral is "bacterial SSU rRNA". It matches the Rfam family "Bacterial small subunit ribosomal RNA", at positions 335 to 658 of the family's 1533-position model. The record is from RNAcentral.